UGAGUGUCAUUGUAAUCUCACUACGAUCGACUCUUGUCUUUCCGUAUGUGGACUUGGAUGUUGUCGUGGAUUCAACGACUCGUCUGAAAUGCCUGAGUGUACCCCGCUUUGCGGCGUAUUCGGUGUGAUACAUCUUCACCGGAGUUGAUCCUUUUUGGGUCGCGUCUGUAUGAGUGUGGCUCUAUGCUUCCAACCGUCUUUUUAUGAGACAAAUCUCUGACAAUUUGACCUCAAAUCGGGUGGGACUACCCGCUGAACUUAAGCAUAUCAAUAAGCGGAGGAAAGAAACUAACAAGGAUUCCCCUAGUAACGGCGAGUGAAGAGGGAAAAGCUCAAAUUUUGAAUCUGGUGUCUUUGACUCCCGAGUUGUAAUCUAGAGAAGUGUUUUCCGCGUCGGACCGUGCACAAGUUCCCUGGAACGGGGCGUCAUAGAGGGUGAGAAUCCCGUAUAUGGCACGGACCGCCGAUGCUCUGUGAUACACUCUCAACGAGUCGAGUUGUUUGGGAAUGCAGCUCAAAAUGGGUGGUAAAUUCCAUCUAAAGCUAAAUAUUGGCGAGAGACCGAUAGCGAACAAGUACCGUGAGGGAAAGAUGAAAAGCACUUUGGAAAGAGAGUGAAACAGUACGUGAAAUUGUUGAAAGGGAAGCGUUUGAAGUCAGUCGUAUCUGGCGGGAUUCAGCCUGGCUUUUGCCUGGUGUACUUCCCGUCCGAUGGGUCAGCAUCAAUUUCGAUCGAGGGAAAAAGGCGUGGGGAAUGUGGCUGUCUUCGGGCAGUGUUAUAGCCCUGUGUUGUAUGCCUCGGUUGGGAUUGAGGAACGCAGCGCGCCUAUAGGCCAGGGGCUACCCGCCUCUUGACACGCGCUUAGGAUGCUGGCAUAAUGGCUUUAAGCGACCCGUCUUGAAACACGGAC
RNAcentral lists this ribosomal RNA (911 nucleotides) under uncultured Sebacinales. RNAcentral's name for it is "eukaryotic LSU rRNA". The stretch from base 226 to 911 matches the Rfam family "Eukaryotic large subunit ribosomal RNA", at positions 1 to 666 of the family's 3401-position model. The record is from RNAcentral. Lineage: Eukaryota; Fungi; Basidiomycota; Agaricomycetes; Sebacinales.